UGAAUACGAGAUGCUACGGCGUCGAAGCAGUCUAUGUCAUACUUCCAAGAAAAGCUUGCACUGUCAUAAACAAAUAAUGCCUGUACCAUAACCGACACAGGUGGGUAGGUAGAGUAUACUAAGGGGCGCGAGAUAACUCUCUCUAAGGAACUCGGCAAAAUGACUCCGUAACUUCGGGAGAAGGAGUGCCUUAUUUAUAAGGUUGCAAUAACAAGAUCCAAGCAACUGUUUACCAAAAACACAGGUCUCCGCUAAGUCGUAAGACGAUGUAUGGGGGCUGACGCCUGCCCAGUGCCAGAAGGUUAAAGAAGUUGGUUAGCAUCCGCGAAGCUGAUAACUGAAGCCCUGGUGAACGGCGGCCGUAACGAUAACGGUCCUAAGGUAGCGAAAUUCCUUGUCGGGUAAGUUCCGACCCGCACGAAAGGCGUAAUGAUUUGGAUACUGUCUCGGAGAGGGGCUCGGUGAAAUAGACUUGUCUGUGAAGAUGCGGACUACCUGCACCAGGACAGAGAGACCCUAUGAAGCUUUGCUGUAACCUGAAAUUGAAAUUGGACUUUACUUGCGCAGUAUAGGUGGGAGGCGUUGAGAAUAUUCUUGCGGGAUUAUUGGAGCCAUCAGUGAGAUACCACUCUUGUAAUGUUAGAUUUCUAACUUUGUAUCAUUAUCUGGUCAAAGAACAGUUUCAGGCGGGCAGUUUGACUGGGGCGGUCGCCUCCUAAACGGUAACGGAGGCGCACAAAGGUUUCCUCUGAACGGGUAGAAAUCGUAUCUAGAGUGUAAAGGCAUAAGGAAGCUUGACUGUGAGACCUACAAGUCGAGCAGGGACGAAAGUCGGUCUUAGUGAUCUGACGGUGCUGAGUGGAAAGGCCGUCACUCAACGGAUAAAAGUUACUCUAAGGAUAACAGGCUGAUCUCCCCCAAGAGUUCACAUCGACGGGGAGGUUUGGCACCUCGAUGUCGGCUCAUCGCAUCCUGGGGCGGUAGUACGUCCCAAGGGUUGGGCUGUUCGCCCAUGAAAGCGGUACGCGAGCUGGGUUCAGAACGUCGUGAGACAGUUCGGUCCAUAUCCGGUGUAGGCGUUAGAAUAUUGAGAGGAGCCUUCUUUAGUACGAGAGGACCGAGAAGGACAUACCUCUGGUGUACCAGUUAUCGUGCCAACGGUAAACGCUGGGUAGCUAUGUGUGGAGUGGAUAACCGCUGAAAGCAUCUAAGUGGGAAGCCCACCUCAAGAUAAGUAUUCUCAC
RNAcentral lists this ribosomal RNA (1244 nucleotides) under metagenome. RNAcentral describes it as "bacterial LSU rRNA". It matches the Rfam family "Bacterial large subunit ribosomal RNA", at positions 1564 to 2817 of the family's 2925-position model. The record is from RNAcentral.